AGUCGACGGCAGCAUGGAGAGCUUGCUCUCUGAUGGCGAGUGGCGAACGGGUGAGUAAUAUAUCGGAACGUGCCCAGUAAUGGGGAAUAACUAAUUGAAAGAUUAGCUAAUACCGCAUACGACCUACGGGUGAAAGCAGGGGAUCUUCGGACCUUGCGUUAUUGGAGCGGCCGAUAUCUGAUUAGCUAGUUGGUAGGGUAAAAGCCUACCAAGGCGACGAUCAGUAGCUGGUCUGAGAGGACGAUCAGCCACACUGGAACUGAGACACGGUCCAGACUCCUACGGGAGGCAGCAGUGGGGAAUUUUGGACAAUGGGGGAAACCCUGAUCCAGCCAUCCCGCGUGAGUGAAGAAGGCCUUCGGGUUGUAAAGCUCUUUCGGAAGUGAAGAAAACUUAUUUCGUAAUAUGUUAUAAGAAUGACGGUAACUUUAGAAGAAGCACCGGCUAACUACGUGCCAGCAGCCGCGGUAAUACGUAGGGUGCGAGCGUUAAUCGGAAUUACUGGGCGUAAAGCGUGCGCAGGCGGUUUUGUAAGUCAGAUGUGAAAUCCCCGAGCUUAACUUGGGAACUGCGUUUGAAACUACAAGACUAGAGUGUGUCAGAGGGGGGUAGAAUUCCACGUGUAGCAGUGAAAUGCGUAGAGAUGUGGAGGAAUAUCAAUGGCGAAGGCAGCCCCCUGGGAUAACACUGACGCUCAUGCACGAAAGCGUGGGGAGCGAACAGGAUUAGAUACCCUGGUAGUCACGCCCUAACGAUGUCACU
Molecule: ribosomal RNA, 762 nt
Filed under: Methylophilales bacterium LSUCC0227
Lineage: Bacteria; Pseudomonadati; Pseudomonadota; Betaproteobacteria; Nitrosomonadales
Description: bacterial SSU rRNA
Rfam family: Bacterial small subunit ribosomal RNA
Source: RNAcentral